This 72-nucleotide transfer RNA is filed under the name Ictidomys tridecemlineatus (thirteen-lined ground squirrel). RNAcentral describes it as "Spermophilus tridecemlineatus (thirteen-lined ground squirrel) tRNA". It matches the Rfam family "tRNA". Rfam says of the family: Transfer RNA (tRNA) molecules are approximately 80 nucleotides in length. Their secondary structure includes four short double-helical elements and three loops (D, anti-codon, and T loops). Further hydrogen bonds mediate the characteristic L-shaped molecular structure. tRNAs have two regions of fundamental functional importance: the anti-codon, which is responsible for specific mRNA codon recognition, and the 3' end, to which the tRNAs corresponding amino acid is attached (by aminoacyl-tRNA synthetases). tRNAs cope with the degeneracy of the genetic code in two manners: having more than one tRNA (with a specific anti-codon) for a particular amino acid; and 'wobble' base-pairing, i.e. permitting non-standard base-pairing at the 3rd anti-codon position. Lineage: Eukaryota; Metazoa; Chordata; Mammalia; Rodentia; Sciuridae. The record is from Rfam by way of RNAcentral.
AGGGUUGUGGCUCAGUGGUAGAGCGCCUGCCUGGCAUGCAUGAGGCACUGGGUUCGAUCCUUAGCACUCCGU